Molecule: microRNA precursor, 154 nt
Filed under: Amborella trichopoda
Lineage: Eukaryota; Viridiplantae; Streptophyta; Magnoliopsida; Amborellales; Amborellaceae
Description: MIR8565 microRNA precursor family
Rfam family: MIR8565 microRNA precursor family
Source: Rfam by way of RNAcentral
CCCACACCCAUGUGUAUAGGACCUCAAAGGAUCACCAUUAAAUUUGGCACAGGUCUCUAGAAAACUUAUCACAUGGGUAUGGGACUUGACUUUUCUAGAUAUUUGUGUCAAAUUUAAUAGUGAUCAUUUGGGGUCCUAUACAUAUGGGUGUGGG